GUGGCUAUAUCAUAACUGGAUAAUGACACUGCAUGUGAGGCAGUUCUAUGUCGGUUCGAGUCCGACUAGCCACCCCA
RNAcentral lists this transfer RNA (77 nucleotides) under Staphylococcus haemolyticus. RNAcentral's name for it is "tRNA-His". RNAcentral also lists the same sequence under 1 other name. Lineage: Bacteria; Bacillati; Bacillota; Bacilli; Caryophanales; Staphylococcaceae. The record is from RNAcentral.